This 539-nucleotide ribosomal RNA is filed under the name Gluconobacter oxydans. Its description in RNAcentral is "bacterial SSU rRNA". It matches the Rfam family "Bacterial small subunit ribosomal RNA", at positions 97 to 669 of the family's 1533-position model. Lineage: Bacteria; Pseudomonadati; Pseudomonadota; Alphaproteobacteria; Acetobacterales; Acetobacteraceae. The record is from RNAcentral.
GGCGGACGGGUGAGUAACGCGUAGGGAUCUAUCCAUGGGUGGGGGACAACUCCGGGAAACUGGAGCUAAUACCGCAUGAUACCUGAGGGUCAAAGGCGCAAGUCGCCUGUGGAGGAACCUGCGUUCGAUUAGCUAGUUGGUGGGGUAAAGGCCUACCAAGGCGAUGAUCGAUAGCUGGUUUGAGAGGAUGAUCAGCCACACUGGGACUGAGACACGGCCCAGACUCCUACGGGAGGCAGCAGUGGGGAAUAUUGGACAAUGGGCGAAAGCCUGAUCCAGCAAUGCCGCGUGUGUGAAGAAGGUCUUCGGAUUGUAAAGCACUUUCGACGGGGACGAUGAUGACGGUACCCGUAGAAGAAGCCCCGGCUAACUUCGUGCCAGCAGCCGCGGUAAUACGAAGGGGGCUAGCGUUGCUCGGAAUGACUGGGCGUAAAGGGCGCGUAGGCGGUUGAUGCAGUCAGAUGUGAAAUCCCCGGGCUUAACCUGGGAACUGCAUUUGAGACGCAUUGACUAGAGUUCGAGAGAGGGUUGUGGAAUUC